RNAcentral lists this long non-coding RNA (16317 nucleotides) under Ananas comosus (pineapple). Its description in RNAcentral is "long non-coding RNA (ACOM_LNC014198)". Lineage: Eukaryota; Viridiplantae; Streptophyta; Magnoliopsida; Poales; Bromeliaceae. The record is from RNAcentral.
AUUGAAUUGUAUUGCUGAAAAGCAGUUUAUAACAUCAUUAAACUUUGUAAAUGUUUUGAUACUUUUGCUUAUCGAUAAUUCUUUAGUGGCGUCUAGCUGAUACAAUUUCUACAAUACCUUACGCUAAUACUCCUCUUACCGUCUACUCGGAAUCUGAGCUUAGACUAUCCUCCAUUUCUUCAUUGCUUUUCUUCAAAUUUCUUUUUGAAAAAACUAUUAUCAUUUAUUUACAUGUUAAUUUUAAUAUUUUGCGCAGGUGAUUGAUGGCAUCUACUAUAAAUUUUCUUGAAGAUAGAACAGUUUGGUGCAAAUGCAACGAGAUAGCUUUAAUAAGAACUUCACAGCAAGCUAGAAGUAAAGGAAGGCAAUUUUAUGGAUGUCGAAAUUAUGGAAAGAAUAAGAAUAACUAUUGUGAUUUUUUCAUGUGGUGCGAUAAAGUGAAAUCCAAAGAACUUUUAGAACAAGAAAGUUCUACUCUUUUAAAUUUGAAGGAAAGUGUAGACCGUGAACUAGCAGCAUCUUCUCCAAAAACUUCAAAUGAAGAGAUGCUUCAAUGCAUAAACUAUAAGUUAUCUAGUUUGGUUGAGCAAAUGGAGAAUCUGAAAAAUAGAGUUGAAGAAGCUUCUACAAGGACAACAGCAAUGGUGGAAAGAAUUGAAGCCGAAAGAAAAAUUUUUAUUGUAUUCAUUUUAGCAAUUAUAUGUAUUAAACUUCUAUUCGCCUAAAUGUAAUAUGAAUCUACUGUGUUCAUUUGAGAUGUAUGUAGGAUAUUUGCCUCACUUUUAAUUGUAUGAACCAACCUUGACAAUUUUUUGUGUGUGAAGACUUAGUAUUAAUCCACUGAUUCAUCUGUGUUUAUAAUGUGUACUUCAAAAUUGUGUAUGCAUAUUAAACUGUAUCUAUGCAUAUUAAACAAUAAUACUCUACCACAAAGAAAAGUAAGGUCCAAUACAAUCACAGUCUAAACUAUCACAAUUCAACUAAUACAACAAUACUCUACCACAAAGAAAAGUAAGGUCCAAUACAAUCACAGUCUAAACUAUCACAAUUCAACUAAUACAACAAUACUCUACCACAAAGAAAAGGUACAAUACAACCACAGUCUAAACUAUCACAAUUCAACUAAUACAACAAUACUCCACCACAAAAAAAAGUAAGGUACAACACUGAUUUGUUCUUGCUUUCAAGUCUCUUCGUCAUCGGUUUCUUCAAGUCUCUCGCUAAAACUUGGAUCAUUAGAUGGCACUUCAUCAACAAUCUGCAAAUAAUAUUAAUAUUAGCAUACUGUGAAUAAUAAGAAAUGUAAAAAUAUUUGAAGAAAAUAAAAAAAAAAGGAAUUUAUUAUACCUCUUUACAAGUCCUAAUGUUGUGUCCUUUUUUACCACAUUGCUUGCAAGUUCUUGGCACCCUAACCUUUUUUUCAAUGGGAGGCUUAAACCUUUGUGGUUUUCUCUUUCCUUUACAUUGUGAUUGAGGAGGAUCUUUAAUCGUGCAUUCUGAUGCAAGCAUAUUUACUUGGCUUGAUUGUGAAAUUACGAUUCUGUGAAGACCACUUGAAGGCUCCUUGAUUGUCGCUUCCUCACUUUCAAACAUUUGAUUAAUUGAUGUUAGUGUAUCAAUUCCUUCUCUAAUUAUCUGACAUGCAGUUUCAUGUGCCUUAAGACUUUUUGAACCUUCAAAGAUAAAUUUUUGCAUUUCUAAUGUAAGUGAAUCAAACCUUCGAGAUCUACAAAACGAGGAACCACCACUCAUUUCUGCACUAUUGCUUGGUGUUCUCUUUUUUGCAUUCUUAGUCCACCUAUUUAAUAUAUAAUGAGGUGGGAUGUUAUAAAUCUCAAUAUAAUGCAUUACUUUAAGCACAUGAGCACAUAAGAGGCCAUAAAAUUCAAACAAUUUACAAGUGCAGGAUACUAUAUUUUCGGACCUUACAACAGUCACUAUAUAUUUUUUUUCAUAGCAGGAUCUUGAUCAGUGAUAAUAGCUUUUGUGGUGUCUACCAUACAUGGCUUUAAUCCAUGUUUCAAACAACCAAGCAAAUGUAUUAGCAGUCUCAUCUCUAAUGAGAGCACACACCGAAAAAUAUAGAUGCAAAUGAUGAUUAACCCCUAUAAAAGGAGCAAAUGGCAUACUAUAUUUGUUCGUCAUAUAAGUUGUAUCGAAAGUGACAACAUCGCCAAAAUGCUCAUAUGCUAAUCUUGAUCGUCCAUCUACCCAAAAUAUGUUUCGAGCCGCUGUUGGUCAUCAACAUCAAUAGCAUAGAAGAAUAACGGAUCUUUAGAUUGAAGCUCACGAAAAUAAUUAAGCGCACUUGCUACAUCUAUUCCAAUAAGGUUUCUAUUUUUCUCAGCAACUUUAUUACUUAAAUCUUUACGAGUGAAGUGAAUAUUAUGUCUUCCUCCCUCCCUUGCUUGCAAUAAAGGCCAUAAUUUGUGAAGUGGAAAUAUUCUGUUCAUUCAACAUAUGAAUUAAUUCUUUUUGCUCCUUUGUAAUAGCACGAUGCGAUCGAAAAAAUCGACUUUUAGAAGGACUAACGAUUAAUUCAUGAUUGUGUUCGUUCCCCACACGUGAUCACCCAUUUUCUCGAUCAUCUAUCCUCAUAACAAUAUGCGCUUUACAACCACUUCGCUCGAUUAGAAAAUUGCUUUUUAGGCGUAUUGCUACUUCUGAAUUUUGGCAAUGACUUUUCUCAUGAGUUUGGGAUUUAGAAAGACCUGCUUUAGAGCAACAAUAGGUUACAGAUGUGAUGCAUCAUCAUGUUUCUUUGCCUUAUAAUGGUAUGUUUUCUUAUACUAAACCCCAAUUUAAAAGCAUAGUCAUUGUAGAACUUUUUAGCAUCUUCUAUAGAGUUGAAUUCCAAACCAACACGUGGCUCUUCAACAGGUUGUGUGUUAUACAUAUCUGUUCAGCAGUAGCAAUUUGUUCCAAUUCCUCAUCUACCUCAUUUUCAACAUCAAUAUUGCACAGAGAAACAGAAGAACCAAUUGUAGAGCCAUAUUCCCUCAUUUAAUUAACCCCUAUAGAUAUAAUCAAAUUAAUAUUAUAAAAAUAGCUCAAAUAAUAGAAAAAUUGAUAACUUACUUUAUGAAAUAUGACAAAAUGAGUAGAAAUAAAAUUUAUGAUAGCUAUCAAGUGACGGACAAAUUUUUUUAUUUGUAGAUAUGCUCAGACAAAAUUUAUGCUCAUACAUAUUUGUAGAAUACCUCAACAAAAGAUGAUUUUGCUUUCUAGAGGUCUUCAACAAUUCAUUUUCAUGUAAAAAUUGAAACUUAUGUAAAAGAAUGACAUAGGAGCUAAUCCCAAGCAACUGGGAUCAUGGAUAUAAGAACAACAUCCCCAGACCAAAAGGUAUUUCCCAAAGAGCACUCACCAGAAUGCUUCAUCUAGUUACUCAUUAUUCAUGUAUUUUCCAUUCCGUCACCAACAAAAAAAAUUAAACAUCAAAACGACAACAAGAACAACAAGAUCCGAGAUGCUUACCUUCGAGAUCUUCCCGAGAACGGCGUCACGGAUCGGAGGUGCGGGAACCGCCACAGUUGGAGAACUAAAUUCAGAUCGUUGCCGGGAUCGAUCGAGUGCUCACGGGCCGAGGGAGCGCGCCUCGUCGGGAGCGAUCUUGUAGCGCGCAGCCGGAAGGCGUCGACGCGGAGGGGUGCGUCCGGGAUCGAAACUGUAGCGCUGCGGCCGAAAGGCGUCGCGCGGAUGGGCGCGUCCGGGAUCAAAUCUGUGCGCCGCGGCCGCAAAGGCGUCGGCGCGGGAGGUGCGCACGACUUACUGUCGUGGCGUCGUCGCGAGCGUCGGAUAGGGAUAGAGACCACCACCGUAGAGAAGGGGAAAGAGGAAGAGAGAUGGAGGGAGAAAAAAAGAAAAGAAUAGAUCUGGUGGGGGAACCAGAGAGAGAGAGGGAGAGAAAGAGGGGGUUGUCAGAGAAAGAAAAGAGAGAGAAGGUGGGUUGCCAGAGGGAAAGAGAGAGGGGUUCACGUGUAGAGAGAGAAGAGAGAGAAGAGAGAGAGUAACGCCGCUUAUUUGCUUGCGUCUAGUUCCACCCAAUAACUAUGCGCGGAUCUCGAGGCGAAGCCGCGAUCCAAUGGUGAAAAAGUCCCAAGCACAAGAGCUCCUGUGCUUUUUAAAGCACAGGAGCUCUACUUAUAUUAUUAUAUAUAUAUAUAUAUAUAUAUAUAUAUAUAUAUAAUAUUAUAUAGAACUAGGCUACUAUACUAUCGGUAGCACGAGCGUUCGUGCUACCAAGUUGUUUUCGAUGAUGCGGCUUUCAAAUCGACGAUCGGCUCCGUGUUAGAUUUGAUCUACACUAUUGAAAGUAUUUAGAAACUAAAUUUCAUAAUUUUUCGAUAUCAUUUACCUAUCAAACAAGUAGUCUAAAAUUGAACGGCUAAAAAUAAAAAUCUCAUGAAAAAUGAUGAUAAAAUAUUUAAAUUCAAGAUCAAAUAUACUGAUCUUACUCUAAAUAGUGAAAAGAAUUUUUUAUAAAAUUUUUAUCGCAUUUGGAUUGUUUUACACCGUUAAACUUACAAACACACCACAUCGGCCAUUAAAAUUGUCAAUUUUGAGAUAUUUUGAUCACUAGUCAAACGAUGUCGAAAAAAUCUGAAAUUUAGUUUCCAAAUACUUUCAAUAGUGUAGAUCAAGUCUAACGAAACCAAUCGUCGAUUUGGAAGCCGCAUCAUCGAAAACAACUUGGUAGCACGGAGCGCUCCGUGCUACCGAUAGCAUAGUAGCCGGACUCUAUAUAUAUAUAUAAUUUACUUACUCAAGUAAGGCAAACCGAAGGAGAAUUAACCAAAUUCUCUCUCUCUCUCUCUCUCUCUCUCUCUCUCUGUUUUUCAAGAAACAAAAAGACUCAAAAUGUUUGGAAUAAUUGAAGGAAAUAAUUUUUAGAAAAUGAGUGAAAACUAAUUAAUGUGCCAAAAAUUUGGAAACAAAUAGCAGUAAUUCAAAAGAUAUAUAUAUAGGUUUUACCCAAAGCAAUUCAUAUUAACGUAUUGUCUUAUUCGUGAGAGUUAAACUUAGAAAAAUUUACUCCCUGAAGUAGAUAUAUACCUAAAAAACGGUUUGAUUUGUUAAUACUUUCGUGUGUGUAGGUAGGAAUUGUUAAAUUAUAAGCAACAAGUGUUUUUUAAUAGCUUAAGUUAAUUACUAGAGCAUGCAUGCAUGGUAUUUUUAUAUUUUUAUAUUUAAUAGUAUUCCUAAUUAAUAUAUCUAUUACUUAGCAUCAAAUUAUCUCAUAAAUCAACGGAGUCGAAAGAAAAAUUAUUCUACUUAUAAAAAUAAAGCUUUAAAAUUUACAAAUUUUAAUAUGGGGUCGUUUGAAUAUCAGUGAUACAUUAAAAAUGAAUGUAGUAGACCUAAAUCAUGCAUAUAUUUCUCUAUCUAGGCAAAAUAAAAACUACUAAAAGACCUUACAAAAGAAAACAAAAAAAAGGACCUCCACAUUUAAUGACUAUCAAUUACCCACCAGGCAUAUCUAUGCAGUACUUCUUUGGCACACUUGAUGAGAUCGCUUCUUUGUUUUCACUAAAGCUAUUUCUGGGCUUAUUUUAUAUUAGAUCGAUAUUCUAUUAAUGUAUGUAUUGUGAUUCAGCUGGUAUCUAUCAUGCACGUAACUGCGAAUAUUAAGAUUGUUUUUAAGGCUAUUUUCUAUGUAAUCAAUCUUUUGGAUUCUCUCUCUCGCGCGCGCGCACUUUUUUCCUAAUUGAUACAAAACUCUGUGAACACUAUAAUUGCCUAAACACUACUCAGAUAAGUACCUCAUCCUGCACUCAUUUGAGUCAGCAGCUGCAGCAGAUAUUAUACCAAUUUAUAUGAUUUUUGACUGCUACAGUGAAGGUUAUGAACCCCCGAAUAUACGGAAAUGUUUCAUGUACACGCGGAUUAGGAGGAAUAAUACAUAUAAAAAAUACCUCGCAGAGCGUUUUCAUUAAUAAGAAAAAACAGUACAUACGAUCAGGUAAUUUAUUGGCUACGCAUUACGUUCCUUGUAGCUCUCGUGGUACUACGUUCUUUUCAUUUUCUUGUUGGGGCAGUAAUUUUAUGCUAGAAAUACAUCUUACACACGAUGCUUUACAAAUUACAUCGCUUUAGUAAUCGGAUUUCAUUGCAGAAUUAUAAGUCAUGCUUAUCUCCACGAACUAAAUAUGGUCACGAACAUAGAUAUAUUUGUAAAGUAUUGUAAAAUUUGUUUAUAAAGGAUAGUUCGUUGUAGCCAGAGACACGAGCUCCAAAUGAGCCCAUAAGGCCCAAUGGAGCAUACUAUUUUUGAGUUCUCGCAAAAAAGCCACGGAUACUUGGAUCUUACUACUUACAUUUGUCGAUUCGCGUAGAAGGGGAUGGAUCAACACGCACGCCAUGAAAUUCUAUCUACCAAGCUGGCGUCAAGCCUUAUUCGACGCGAAUAAGGCCAAGCACUAACACUGCUGUGAGAUUCAGACUAAGUGAUAUCCGAUGAUAAUGUCGAGUGCAUCUUAGUGAGAUGCAUCUACGGAGUUACCAUGAAACUAGACGUAGCUAACGCAGUUCUUGGAUGGCUGUGGUCUCCUUCAUAAGUUACGAUCAACAUGUUUGCGUCGUGUAAACAGCGCUCGACGUGCUUCCUCGCAGGGCAUCCUCUCAAGCUGCUACAUUUGUAAUAGCUCCUACAUAAUAUGGAGCAAGGAAGGCAUUUGUAAAUUGUAAUACCACGUAAAUAGUGUGAGCUGUGUUACAUUAAAACUGAUAUCUAAUAUACUAACGAGUUAUCAAAUUUAGAAGGAAAUAUAUAUAGUGGUGUAUAUACCUUGGAUGUGGAGAACCUUUUAUGGGCUUCUGCCCAUAUUUCCUCCAUGAGAAAUCAUCUGGGGGUAUAUCUGCAAAGUUGCCACUAAAAGCCGGCACUCUUAUUGUUGUUCUAUUCCUGGGCUUCCUACCAAAGCAAAACACGUAACAUAGAUCCAACUCAAACUUAAUUUAGAGCGCCAAUAUAUCUUUUGAAUAUAAAUAUUAAAAAUACUAUUCUCCAGUAAUAUUAGUUCUUAGAAAGAAAACGGUUGCUUCAUAUAAUAUAAUAUGGCAUCAAAGCAAAAGAUUCUUAGUUCGAGUCUCAUCAAACUCCUAACAUUAAUACAUUUCUUUUCAUUAAUUAAGUUCACUUCUUGAGCUCAUCAAAAAUUUUUGAGUCCAGAUAUGAGAAGAAGUGUUGAAUGUAAAUAUUAAAAAUACUAUUAUCUAGCAGCUUAAAUUUUUGAAGGACAAUAUUUUUCUUAUACAAUUUAACAAUAUCAAGCGAGAUUACUGUACUUUAGCCAAAAGAAAAUGGAGCGAAUGAAUGAAGGAAAUUGAAGUUUGUUUGAUCUCACCUUCUCUUGAAGCAGUGGCAUCCUCCAGUAGAAGCAGUGCAGUUCAUUCCCCCUUCACUAUUGUGCUUCCUCUUAUGAUUAGAAAGCAUAGAGGAUUCUCCAAUAGAAGAACCUUGUGUUACUGAAGAAGAGAAGCAAUGGUUCACCAAAUGCAUGUUGGUUUUAUAAGGAUUCAUGCCAAUCGAAGAAGAGAUCGGCCGUCUUAAAGGAAACAGCAAUCUCUGAUUCAUUGCACCAGGAAACUGCAUGCCUGAAGUACACUUCGGGACGGCGAAGUAUGCUUGAGACUGCAGUUUCUGAAACAACUGAACACCAUUGUAGUUCAUGGUGUUCUUGGAGCAACUAGGGGAGGUCCAUCUUUCAAUCAGCGCAGCACGAUUGAUCUCGUUGGAAGUUGGCAACGGACCCUUUCGAAUUCUUUUGUCGCGGGGAUAAGUCACGCCGUCGAGCAAAGAAAGUAAGUUCUUGAACUCGGCGAUGGUUUCACGGGCGAUCACGCUAAGCUCCUGGGAAGCGCUUCUGUCCGGCUUUUGGCUCACGACGCAGCGAAAGAGGUGAUGAGCUGUGUUUAUGCUUCUCUGAGCAGCACUAAGGAUGGUGAUAUCAUCUGAUGCUUCUUUAUUCAUGGUGGAAUUCAUAUGAACUCCUUAGUAGAGCUUCUUUAAACUAUAUAUACCAAUUCCAAAAUGAGAUACACCAAACAUUUACACCAUCUACUCAUCUUACUGUUGCAAAGAAUAAGCCAACUCAUGAUUACAAAAGUGCUUGAGAUUAUCAUGACAAAUUUGCACUUACUCCACAAUGAGAAAAAGUGCUUCCCUGCUUACAACCCACCACAACACAUCAUGGACACAUAGCCCAAAUUACAUUAUACUAUCUCAUGAAGAGAAUGUGAAAAGUGGGUUGAAGAGUGAAAGAGGAAUCCACAAAGGAAUACCAUUUGUUAGCUUCCUAUGAAGUGGGUUAAAGAAAGUGGGGAGAAAAGGAGAAUAGAUGGUGAUGGUUUGUCAUAUUAGUGAUGGUUGCCCCUUUUUUUUUUGGUGAUUAUUUUAUUGAAAAAAAGGGAGUGGUGUGAUUCAUGGAGUGGGAGAGGUGGUGGAGUGUUCGGACCCUACUGUGGGGAGUGUUUUUGCUUCUUCCACUAGCCCCCCCAUAGGAAUGGUGCAUCUAAUCCACUAUAUUACUUACACUUCAUUCCCCACUUUGCGAACAAAACCUCUUCACUCUUCGUACGCAAUCUCCUUAUGUCGAGUUCAUUUUGGGUAGAUUUUUGGAAACAUCCAAUGGUGGCAUGAUUCUUUUGCACAGAACUGACCCACAAGAGAACAUGUGUUGAGCCAGAUCAAUGUGGACCCAUUCAUCACAUUGAAGAGACCUUCCUUUUUAAAAAUCUCUGCUUAUGCUCUAUCUUUAAUCUUCCUCUCUUCUCUUUUCGUCGUUUUCAUUCUCUCCCGGUAAGCAACCAACAACUCGCGGCUAAUAGCAGACUGCCAGACUGUAAGCCCUUCUCUUGAUACUACUACGAGGUUAUAAAUUGUUUAUGAGGCGAGGAAUUUUAGCGACAGCAAUAUUGACUUAAAUCUUCCACAUGCUUGUUUUUUCCCACAGUACUGAAUCAGUUUCCGAUAGCAGAAUAUACCCCUGCUUCUAUCUUAAUAAGACAGGAUCGAGCCUUUCAUUUAUUUGGAAGAAAAGCGAUCUGUAACAUGUUCUAACAUCUACUGCAUCCAUCUACUAUAUCUGAGCUUUCAAUCUCAUGAUUACAAAACGCUGAAUAAACUUAGUUCCAACAAAAUGGUCAGAUCAUAAACUCAAUUCUCUCCAACUGUACUUGCUGCUAAUACAUAUUUAUAUAUAUAUAUAUAUAUAUAUUCACAAAACUAGCCAGAGACAGCUUCGUCAAACAUCAGCCCAUACAUUCUCGAUGUAAACUAACAGGAAUGAAAGACUGAAGCCGAUGAAAUUCUCAGGGCCUCCUGCGACCCGAAUGAUUCCUCAAAUGCCUGCCUAUAGUAGGGUAUGGCCGUCUCUCCCUGCAAGUCCUCUUAGACCUGUUCUUCCUGAGCUCAUACCCUAUAGUGUGCAAAUCCUCACAAAUCUCAUGCCUCGAGAGGGAAACAAGACCUGGCAAUAUAUCCUUCUGAAAAUCUCGUAGUCCCCUUCCUCUCCUCAGCUUAAUCCCACAAACAUUUUCCUUGUUAUUUGUUAUUGCAGGAGCCGAGAGUCCAUCAUCUGCGAUCUCUUCAAGAUUCAAGAUGAUUCUCUCAAAAGAAUCUGAGGAAUACUGAGGCAGAUAACUCGUUUCCGCAAUGGCUACGUCUAUGUUCCUGUCUAAGCAAUCCAUUAAACACGUUGGAUUCACAAAAGAAAAGGACAAAAGUGUCUCAGCUGCCCUUGUAACCACAUGAUCUAUCGCCACCUUAUCGUAAAGCUUCUCACUCUCAGCUACGGCAUGGCUUGAUACAGUAUCUUCUUCACUUCCAUCAUUGUGUGUUCGUUUUUCUCCCAAAUCCCCAUCUACAGAAGGUGGUAAAUCACUACUCCCAACUGAUGUAUGUAACUUAUCAUCCUUACUGUUAUUGCUAAAUGUUACAGUCGACAACUGCCUACCACUCUCACUAUCUACAGGCAUAUGUGAAUCAUGAGGAUGGCGAAUUGGGCCAUUAGCAGCCAUUUCCCCCGAAAUUUCCAAAGCAGGAAACACGAGAUUCGGCUGAACUGCUGUGCAGAAUUCCUUAGAGAAUCUAUUAUCUGAUUCACAAUAUUCUCGGCAUAUUUCACUUGGGUCUUUGUGGAGAUUCCCAUGAUGGACAACAGAUGAACUUGUAGAAGGGGAAGGAAACAUUUGACUAUGAUCAGGCAAAAUAUACAUUGCAUCAUCAUCUAGAGAUAUGUUAAGGUCAAUCUGCAGCUUUUGUUUCUCAUCAGAUUGACUAGGUGGAGAAUCGCUGCAUGCAUUUGAUCCUGAAAAGCAUAGAACAAACACUAGAUUUAGAAACGAGCAUGGCUUGCAGAGCUAUGUUAAGGCAACAAUGUCUGGCACUUUUCUAUAAAUUAUGCUAACAUGCGGUAAGGCUAAUACACCAAAUUAUUUGCAUGAAGUUUUCACCACCGACAAAUAUAGGCAUUAAACAAGGUUUUAUUAAGUAUCAUCGCUUUGUCUAAUCUAAUGCAUCCUACGUUAGAACUAGAUAUUUAACCCACGUUUCAUCUGGAAAAUCAUGUUUCAAGUCCAAUCGAACCUGGAACAUGGUGCAAAAGUUUAAAUAGUAUCUGUUGUAUAUCGAGCAUGGGAUCCGAAAUUUGGCACGAAAUUUCAUGCUCCUGCUGUGACAAAACUUGAAAUACAUAUGUUUAAAACUUAAAUAAGCGACAAUAACCGUUAAUGCAAUCCGAUAUACUAUGUGUCAGCAAUACUGGGGCCUUACGGCCCUUUUCUUUUUUCUUUUUUCUUUUUUUCCCCCCCAAAACCUUGUUUACGUUUUAUACAGAGUAUAUGACCCUUUUCAUGGAUUAGUGACGUAUGGUGCUCCUUGAUAGCACUCUCUGAAGCGAUAUAUGACCUGAAACUUCAUGUCCUGGCUUUCCUUAUAGGAUCUGAUGCAUUAUAUAUCAGAUUCUACAUAUAUUAACCACCAAAAUCUCUUCGAACAUUUCUUUCAACUUAUUGCUAUAUCCUGUACAUCUAUGAUUUUAUAAUCUCGCUAAUUUCAGCACACUCAAUCUUAAAUUCUUCUAAUUUUGCCAGAUUAGUCCUACCUAUGUAUAAACUAAUCAAAACAUCCUAUCUGCACAUUUGUUAACCGAAUGGACUAGUAAUUUGCUCAGACCUCAUAAAACAACUUGGGAUCAGAAUGUGGCAUAUUUUAGCAUAAAAAAUAACAAGACUAUCAAAAUGUAGCAUAUAAAAUUUAGCAACAACUGGUUUUUGGAUAAUGCUAUUGCAAAUAAAUGUUACCACGAUGCAAGAAAAGAUCGACAGCUGAAAAUGCUCACCAGCGCUGAGGGUUUGUUCUUUUCCCUUCUCCCGCGGCUCACGAAGAUCGGCAUUGGACUCACUCCACACUCCUCCAAUUUCUGCCUCAUUACUCCUCACCAAUGAAGGAUCUUCCUCAACCGUACCACGCGCAUUCAAAUUAAUUCCACUAUGAUGAUCUCCGGCCUCUCUCGUAUUAAAACCAGUCUCAUCACAAACAGAACUUUUUACUUCGAAGCUUUCAUCUGAAACAAAACCAUCAGCAGGGAGCUCGAGAUCGAAAUCUCUCGCCGGUCGCUUCUGAAGUUCGCAGGAAUUGCUUGUUAGCUCCCUGAAAUCAUCUUCUUUGCUUUGCGUCUUCGCCAAACUCACCUGCACAAAUUCCACACUAAGUUCUUUAAAAAAAAAAAAAAAAAAAGAAUUCUUUUUUCUUUGUUUCCUAACUACAUGUAAAUAAUUUACCAACAUUUCUCACCAUCAGUGAGUGGGUUUGCAGAUCAGAUCCUUUCCAUAAAAGCUCAUGCAUUAGAUUCUUCUGGGUCCAAUACAAUCUAUGGAGCUCUCGAACCUUGUUAUUAAAGAUCACAAUAGAGUUAAGCGAAACAAAACGGAGAGAAAAUCACAUGAAAUUCGCGGAAAAACCAACCUGAUCCCUGAAAAUGAGCUCAUGCUGAAGCAUUGCUUGCUUCAAUCCCUCCCAGAUCGAAUCCUCGAACGAUUGCGGCGAGCAAUUCAGAUUCAGAUCCCCUCCCCUCACCAUCAUCAUCAUCAUCAUCAUUCUCAUUCCACAACCACAAAAGUUAUCUCCUUUAAAACUCCUCCACAAUCCCCAUUCCACAGGAAUCUCAUUCCAUUAACUUUAAAAUAAAAUUCUGAUACAAAGAAAAAGAAACCCAGAAGUUGGGAUCGAUGAGAAGGGCCCAGAUAAAAAGAAAUUUUUUUAAAAAAAAUUGACUAGUAAAAAUAUAUAGUCUUAUCACUUCUGCUGACGCAUGCGUAAUGAAUAUCAGAUGAAUUAUGUCACGUUACAUUACGCAGAUUCUUGCGAAAGUCACGAGGUUUUGAUCUGAUACCAUAAUACUAAUAUUAUUGCGCAAAGAAAUGGAUCUAAUAAAAAAAGAUUGAGAAACGAUUUUAUAACGAAGAUCAUGAAAAUGAAGGAAAACCAACCUGUAAAGUUGCAAGAGGAGAAGGGUACCCAAAUGAUCAAAAGAUGGAGAGAGAGAGGGGGGUGGGGGACAAAAAGUGGGGGGAGGGGAGAGACUUAUUGGAGAGGAAUGUGAGGAAACUGAAAUCUAAACUUUGGGAGGAAAAAAUAAAAAAAUAAAAAAAUAAAAAAAUAAAGGCAAAAGUGGGGGAUCAAAAUAAUUGGGUCACAGAAAGAGCAGAAGCAGCAGCAGCAGUUGCUGCUAUAGGAAGCCCUCUUUUGCCUUUUUUAUUUGCACUCUCUCUCUCUCUCUCUCUCUCUCUCUCUUUUUUGCUUAUAUUCAUUUGCUCAAAAUACUUUUAUUUGUUUACAAUAAUUCUUUUUAAGAGAUAGGUAACACACUAUCCGUUUCGUUUAUUUCAUUUAGAAAUAAAUUUAGCUGAAAAUGUGAAUCAACUAGGAGAGUGUGGCUACUAUGCUAUCGGAAGCACGAAGCCUUCCGUGCUUCCAACUCGUUUUUGAUAUUGCGACUUUCGAAUCGUCGAUCGGCUCCGUUAAACUUGAUCUAGAGUAUUUGGAGUACCUAGAAAAUAAAUUAUAUGAUUUUACAAUAUCAUUUGCCUAGUGAACGAAGGGGCUCAAAAUCAACGGCUGAAAAUAAAAAUCUUACAAAAUGUAAUAAUAUGACAUUAAAAUUUUAAAUCAAAGAUAUUGAUCUUGUUUUAUAUAGUAUAAAGAAUUUUCUAUCAAAAUUUCACGUGAUUUAGAUAUUUCUACACCGUUAAACUUGCAAACGGCUCACUACGGCCAUUAAAAUUUGUUGAUUUUGAGCCCAUUCGAUCACUAGGCAAAUGAUAUCGAAAAUUAAUAAAAUUUAUUUUCUAGGUACUCCAAAUACUUUAGAUCAAUUUUAACGGAGUCGAUCGACGAUUCGAAAGUCGCAACAUCGAAAACGAACUGAAAGCACGAAAGGCUCCGUACUUCCGAUAGCAUAGUAGCCUCACUCUCAACUAGGAUUCAAACUUAGGACCUUAGGUACCAUCCACCAAAUCCUAUGCCACUUGCUCUAAGGACGGUCGGUAUUUGUUUACAAUAAUUUAAAAAAAAGCUCCGCAUACUAUCUCUAUAGUUCAACGUUUUCUCACUUUAGUAUUAUGUGGUUUAAAUUGUAUCAUUUUAGUAUCAUAUAGUUUCGUUUUUCUCUUUCUGUUAUUCCUUCUGUUAAAUUUUUUUCGUUAAAUCAGUGAAAAAAUUAAAACCACAGAAUUGUAAAGUAAAAAUUUUAUAAAUCACGGAGUACUAAAGUAAUAUUUGAUAAAUUAUAGAAAAAAGUAUCUGGAAUUUUUUCUAUAUAUUUCAACGGAGAGUUGACAAAAAUACUGACGAAAAGAAAAAAAUUAAAUCACAGAAUAUUAAAAUAAGAAAGCGCUAAAUCACAAAAGAGAUAUUUGUAGUUAUUUUAUAAUUUAAUUAUAAUACAAAUAUUACUAUUUUAUCUGAAAAUUUUUUUAAAAAAAAUAACUCUGGCAUAGGUUUAAAUAGAUUUUAAUACGAAACGAAUCCCCAAUCUGCUUUAGCUUCCUCGUCAGUGGCUUCUGCUGCUGCUGUUUCUAUCACUAAAUGAAAAUAGAUGGGAAAACUUCAAAAAACCCCCCGUCGUUUCACACGUUUUCAUUUUAGUAUGUUGUGGUUUCUUACUUUAUCACUUUAGUACCCAUUGGUUUAAAGUGUAUCAAAUUAGUAUGAUAUGGUUUUGCACUUUAUCACUUUAGUACUCUGUGGUUUCACACUUUAUCACUUUAGUACCCUAUGGUUUAAAAAACCACAGGGUACUAUCUUGAUACAAAAUUAAAACCAUAGGAUACUAAAGUGAUAAAAUGCAAAACCACAUAGUACUAAAUUGAUACACUUUAAACCACAGGGUACUAAAGUGAUGAAGUGAGAAAUCACAUGUACUAACUUGAUACAUUUUGAACUAUAGAGUAUUAAAGUGAAAAAAAUUGAAACCACAAGGAGGGUUUUUGAAGUUUUCCCAAAAUAGAUAUUAAGAAAAAAAAAAAAAGGAACGUGAUUUUUUUUUUGUUGUUUUUUUUUUUUUUAACUUUGCUUGUUUGUGGUGUGUGUGUGUGUGUGUGUGUUUUAUAUUAUUACUCUAUGCUAAAUUGCUGAUACGCUAUAUUGUCUAUUGUGUGGGAGAAGAGAACAAUGAUCCACAAUGGAUACGGUGCAGGGUUGGAACUUCGAACUUGUGGUGUUCAUUGAGUAAUGUAUUCUUUAAAUAAAAAAAAAAAAAACACUUCAAAAAUAAAUUAUUGUGCAAGUUAAGUUACUCUCCUAUAAAGCUUUUCUUGCAAAAAAUAACUAUGUAUCUAAAACCACUACUUAUUACAGUAAUUUUUAACCUAGAUUUUUUUUUUUUUUUUUUUUUUUUUGAAGUUGGAGCAGCAUAUUUAUCGAAUUUGAUCUUCUAAGACUUUUCGGACCCUAGUAGUAGAUUAGUCUCGAUUGGACGGACCAUGGAGUCUACCGAUAAUAAUAAUAAUAAUAAUAAUAAAAAACUAUAACCAUUUAUUUGAGGUAUUUGGAAAUUGCUCUUCAAUUUUAUCAAUAUUUACUAAUUUGUAUAUCAUCUCCUUUGCUUCAAUUGCUAUAACAAAGUUUGACGAUACCAGGAGCUAAAAUGAGUUUUAGUACUAUAAUAAUAAAAAUUUUGAUUUAAAACUUUUACUUUUACUGUAACCAAAACAAUAUGAAAAUUUUAAUCAAAUUUCCUAUUACCAACUAUAUAUAUACAUAUGAGUAGUAGAGCUACUAUACUAUCAGAAGUAUAGAGAAUCUGGUACUUUCGAUAUUUUAGCCCUUAAAUCAACCACUUUAAUCAUUUCUAACAUUUGGAUUAAUACAAUUAUCAUAUGAGGACCACUCAAUUCUAGAAGGGACUAUAAUCAUUUCAACCAUAGAAUUCUUUAAUUCAAAAGUCAAAAAGUCGAAACUAUCAAAUUCUCUGCAUUUCCGAUAGCAUAGUAACUCUAUAUUAUAUAUAUAGUCCUUUCACGGACAAUCCUAAUUAGGUGACUAUUAUUGCAAAAGCCUAUUCAGAGGCACUUGUGCGAAAAGCUUAAGCUAAUCCAAUUACUUUCUAAAUGUCCUCUCCUAUCUUCUGAAGCCAUUUUCUGAGAGAGUUGAUUCAGCAGCAUGUAGGAGGACUAUGAUCUAUGAGAUGCUCCUCUUUUUUUUUUUCUUUUUUUUUUUUUUUUCUUUUUUGGUCCCUGGUCAAUUUGCUUUUGGAGUGUCCACUUUUGGUCAAUUGUUCUGUAAAAAAGGCUACUCCACCCUUUUUUGCUAUUGCCCUGCUUUUGGUCAUUGCUCUGAUUGAAGGAAAAUGCCAUCAAUCAGCAGUAACCAAACUUGGGCCCAGUUUGGCACUGCAUCAUCAGAAGAAAUUUACCUGAUUUUAUAUUUUCUUGUUAUUUUCUGCAAAACUAUAAAAUGACAGUGAUAAUCAGAGAAAGAAUAAAUGGCCGCUUAGAUUCUGAAAAAGUAAUUUAUAAAAAAUUAAUUUUAGUUAAAAGUUGUAGAGUGUUUUGCUGAAUCUAACAGGAAUAAAACAGUUUGUCCCUUCUUUUUUUUUUUUUUUUUACUAUCUACAAAUAAUAAUUUUUUUACUAAAUUUAAAUUUUGAUUUUAAAUAUUAAAAUUUUAAAAUUUUAAAAAAAGUGAGAAGCUAUAAUUAGUUAAUGAAUAAACAGUAUAUCUUUCUCUUUUGUUAUAAUACUAAAAUGCUGAAAUAAAUGUUUAAAUCUUGGAGCUGGCUGAAAGUAACAAUAGGACAUAAGAUAAUUAAUAAC